UGCGCAAGGUCGACGAAGACUACGGUGACGACUGGUGGUUCAAGGUCUGGGGGCCGGAGUUCCAGCGCGCCCAGGAGGGCAAUGAA
Molecule: transfer RNA, 86 nt
Filed under: Heterosigma akashiwo
Lineage: Eukaryota; Raphidophyceae; Chattonellales; Chattonellaceae
Source: RNAcentral